GACGUAGGGCGCGAGCGUUGUCCGGAAUUACUGGGCGUAAAGAGCUCGUAGGUGGUUUGUCGCGUUGUUCGUGAAAACUCACAGCUUAACUGUGGGCGUGCGGGCGAUACGGGCAGACUGGAGUACUGCAGGGGAGACUGGAAUUCCUGGUGUAGCGGUGGAAUGCGCAGAUAUCAGGAGGAACACCGGUGGCGAAGGCGGGUCUCUGGGCAGUAACUGACGCUGAGCAGCGAAAGCGUGGGGAGCGAACAGG
This 253-nucleotide ribosomal RNA is filed under the name uncultured bacterium. Its description in RNAcentral is "partial 16S ribosomal RNA". It matches the Rfam family "Bacterial small subunit ribosomal RNA", at positions 524 to 776 of the family's 1533-position model. The record is from RNAcentral.